UACGUAGGGUGCGAGCGUUGUCCGGAAUUACUGGAGCGUAAAGAGCUCGUAGGUGGUUUGUCGCGUUGUUCGUGAAAUCUCACGGCUUAACUGUGAGCGUGCGGGCGAUACGGGCAGACUAGAGUACUGCAGGGGAGACUGGAAUUCCUGGUGUAGCGGUGGAAUGCGCAGAUAUCAGGAGGAACACCGGUGGCGAAGGCGGGUCUCUGGGCAGUAACUGACGCUGAGGAGCGAAAGCGUGGGGAGCGAACAGG
RNAcentral lists this ribosomal RNA (254 nucleotides) under uncultured bacterium. RNAcentral's name for it is "partial 16S ribosomal RNA". It matches the Rfam family "Bacterial small subunit ribosomal RNA", at positions 524 to 776 of the family's 1533-position model. The record is from RNAcentral.